UUUCCAGCCGCCGCGGUAAUACGAAGGGUGCAAACGUUAUUCGGAAUCACUGGGCGUAAAGGGUGCGUAGACGGCUUGUUAAGUUCGUUGUUAAAGGCUCCGGCCCAACCGGAGUAUUGCGAUGAAAACUGGCGAACUAGAGGGUGAGAGAGAGAAGUGGAAUUCCCGGAGUAGCGGUAAAAUGCGUGGAUCUCGGGAGGAACACCAAUGGCGAAGGCAGCUUCUUGGCUCAUAUCUGACGUUGAGGCACGAAAGCGUGGGGAGCAAACAGGAUUAGAAACCCCGGUAGUCC
Molecule: ribosomal RNA, 292 nt
Filed under: uncultured bacterium
Lineage: Bacteria
Description: partial 16S ribosomal RNA
Rfam family: Bacterial small subunit ribosomal RNA
Source: RNAcentral